AAGGAAAAGUCAAAUUUGAUGGUAUAAGAUUUUCAGGAGCUUGUUGGAGGAGCUCCUGUUCAAGUGCUGCCAUGAAUAUGUUUGCAUAGGGGUAAUUGUGUUGAUUUCUUUCAACAUGUCUAUACAGGCUUGGAUGCCUUGAUCAUUAGGUA
Dendronephthya gigantea is the source of this 152-nucleotide long non-coding RNA. RefSeq lists it as uncharacterized. The record is from RefSeq and is a predicted model, not a curated record. NCBI's taxonomy places the organism in Eukaryota, Metazoa, Cnidaria, Anthozoa, Malacalcyonacea, Nephtheidae. The transcript has 3 exons.